CGGCGAGUGAAGAGGGAAGAGCUCAAAGUUGGAACCUGUUUGGCUUAGCUAAACCGGAUUGUAAACUGGAGAAGUGUUUUCCUGGCACGCCAGACUGAUAAGUCCUUUGGAACAGGGCAUCAUAGAGGGUGAGAAUCCCGUGAUCGGUCUGAGCUGUUGUCUUUUGUGAUACACUUUCAAAGAGUCAGGUUGUUUGGGAAUGCAGCCUAAAUUGGGUGGUAAAUCUCACCUAAAGCUAAAUAUUGGCGAGAGACCGAUAGCGAACAAGUACCGUGAGGGAAAGAUGAAAAGAACUUUGAAAAGAGAGUUAAACAGUAUGUGAAAUUGUUGAAAGGGAACCGUUUGGAGUCAGACUGGCUUUGUCGUGAUCAAUCUGGGUUUCGACCUUGAUGCACUGACGGCAGAUGCCUGCCAUCGACAGUUUUGUCUGGAGGAAAAAACUAAAGGGAAUGUGGCCCCUCGGGGGUGUUAUAGCCCUUUAGAAAAUACUCUGGAUGGGACUGAGGAACGCAGUGGAUGCCUUUUGGCGAAAUUGCUAGGCGCUUUUGUUGAUAGAUGCUGGAAUUUCUGCUUCGGGUGGUGCCAGUGUUUAAAGAUAAAACUCGCUUGGUAUAUUUUCUAUCCACUUAGGUUGAUGGCUUAAUGACUCUAAAUGA
RNAcentral lists this ribosomal RNA (656 nucleotides) under Mycotypha microspora. Its description in RNAcentral is "LSU rRNA". It matches the Rfam family "Eukaryotic large subunit ribosomal RNA", at positions 87 to 647 of the family's 3401-position model. The record is from RNAcentral. Lineage: Eukaryota; Fungi; Mucoromycota; Mucoromycetes; Mucorales; Mycotyphaceae.